AGUGGCGGACGGGUGAGUAACACGUGAGAAUUUACCUUUAGGAGGGGGAUAACAAUCGGAAACGAAUGCUAAUACCCCAUAUGCUUUUGAGUGAAAUGGAUUUAUUCGCCUAAAGAGAAGCUCGCGGCUGAUUAGCUUGUUGGUGAGGUAAAAGCUUACCAAGGCGACGAUCAGUAUCUGGUUUGAGAGGACGAUCAGACACACUGGAACUGAGACACGGUCCAGACUCCUACGGGAGGCAGCAGUGGGGAAUUUUCCGCAAUGGGCGAAAGCCUGACGGAGCAAUACCGCGUGAGGGAAGACUGCCUAUGGGUUGUAAACCUCUUUUUUCAGGGAGGAAAAAAAUGACGUGUACCUGAAGAAUAAGCAUCGGCUAACUCCGUGCCAGCAGCCGCGGUAAGACGGAGGAUGCAAGUGUUAUCCGGAAUCACUGGGCGUAAAGCGUCUGUAGGUGGUUUAAUAAGUCAACUGUUAAAUCUUGAGGCUCAACUUCAAAAUCGCAGUCGAAACUAUUAGACUCGAGUAUAGUAGAGGUAAAGGGAAUUUCCAGUGGAGCGGUGAAAUGCGUAGAUAUUGGAAAGAACACCGAUGGCGAAGGCACUUUACUGGGCUAUUACUAACACUCAGAGACGAAAGCUAGGGUAGCAAAUGGGAUUAGAUACCCCAGUAGUCCUAGCUGUAAACUAUGGAUACUAGA
Molecule: ribosomal RNA, 697 nt
Filed under: uncultured bacterium
Lineage: Bacteria
Description: bacterial SSU rRNA
Rfam family: Bacterial small subunit ribosomal RNA
Source: RNAcentral